GUAUGUUUCCAGUGUGCCUACAUAUUUGUGUAACCCUCUGUUUGCAAAUUCAUGUCCAGAGAAUAGCAUGUGGAAACUGAGGUACUGUCAAGAAGAGAAUCCAGGUAUCCUAUUUCUUCUCCUUUACUGGUGGAAUCACACAGCACUCCUUUCACAGCCUCUGCAGUCUGAUAUGUUCAUGAGAGAGCAAGCAGAACAAUUUCUAUGCUUCAGGUGAAAUGACUGGGGCAGAUAAAAUGAAUGAUGAUUACUAGGAUUUCCAUUGUGAAGUCAAGUGAGCAGAAAAUACUACAGCAGCAAGAAUCCCUCAAACUAAUAGAAGUGCUGGAACUGUAACUUUUAAAGGCCCUUAUUUCAUUAUUCUAUUUGUGUGACCACUGCCUUAAUACCAUUUUUGUGCAUUCAAUGGUCUAGGCUGGUGAAAAGCUAAAAGGUACCUAUGCACAAUCUAUUAGUGUCUGAAAUGCCUAAUUCAGGACCAUGUUUCAGCACAACAGCAUGGUGUUCUCAUGCAAUGUAAGUUCACUGGAGGCCUGAAGCACCUGCUUUGUAAUGGAAGAAGAACAGCCAGCUGUGAUUUUUUGUGGAAAGAGGAAGAGAGGUGGAGAGCUGAACCUACCUAUGAGAACACACAUGCAGAUGUUGCCUCCAUCUACAAGUGUUGGCUGAAUAAACAUCUGAUUCUCCAGUGAAGCUUUCCAGACUCUACAUUCUCUUCGGCAGACAUGUACUAUUAGUUUAACAAUUUAUACAUUGUUUUUAUAUCCCAAUAAAGCAGUUCAAAGCAGCUUGGCUUUGUGUAUAUGACUCGGAAAGGGCUAUAUGCAUCCCAGUUUCAAGUAGAAAAUGUAGGCUCUCCUGUCAUU
Aquila chrysaetos chrysaetos is the source of this 866-nucleotide long non-coding RNA. RefSeq lists it as uncharacterized. The transcript has 3 exons. The record is from RefSeq and is a predicted model, not a curated record. Lineage: Eukaryota; Metazoa; Chordata; Aves; Accipitriformes; Accipitridae.